GCCUUCACUUCCCAACAGGUGAAAUAAAAACUGAUUAUAUGAAGAACCUGGUGAUUAUGGAAAAACAACAGCUUGAUUGACAUGAGGGCCUCCAUCAAAACGUGUUGACCCAUCACUCUCUUGUAAGAUGACUUGUCAGUCUUACCUCAGAUGUUGUGUAUGCACAGAAGACAGAACAACCAACUCUGCUAGACCCACAGGAGACUCAAUGUUACCAGUUACAACGGAGCAGAGAGAAUUAAGCACAUAAGAAAUAAUGGUCAUGUAUGAGGUACGUAGUACAAGUAACUGCAGUGAGGGAUUGUGUGUUGUAAGUUAAAGUAGCAUUGAAAAUGACAGAUACUAUAACUAUAUACAAGAAUACAGAGCACUGAUCCAGAUAUUCAGCGCUUUUUAAAACAGCACAAUUAAACAUCAGCAGCCCUGGGAGAAUUUAGUCACAUCUGGCUUGAUGGGCUUUAUUCGUCAACAUUUAACCACAUUUUUGCAAAAAAAAGAAAGAAGAAAUCCAACUCGUUGUAGUCAGUUAAAACAUACUUUUUAUUAGGAUUUCAGGCUAAUUGAUUUCAGACUUCUUGAGUUGGACUUAUAAAAUAGCGACUGAAUACAGUUUCUGAAACAGAACCAGUACUGCCAGUAUCUUUCCAAGCUUUCUAUGUGACUUAUACUGAACUUCUCUUUAAAAAGUGAUGACAGAUGGAGACUUAAAGACUGACACAAGUAAUUAAUGAUAUAGCUAGUAGGGUAAAGGAUUCCAGUGAAGAAAACUGAUAGCAAUUGUAUUUUUAUCGACUCUUUGCCUCUCUCUGGUGGUACAAGUAUGUAUCACAGUUCAUCAAUUUGAACUGUCCAUAAUGGAUAAAUGCAAAAACACAACUUCAAAUAAGAAUAAAACAGUUUAUUUAUUACAUUUUUUUCCUACAACUGUUUGUCUUUUUUUAAAGCCUUUCACACAACGAACACUACAAAUUAUCUGAUGGAAAUGUUUUACUCAAUGGUCAAAAGUACACUGCAACUUUAGAUAUGGUCAAACCGUAAAUCACAGCCAUUUGUAAUAUUUCAUUCAUGAAAUAAACUAACAAUGAACAACAGAUGUUCACAAGCAAAAAAGGAAAAUCAAUUCUCAAAAAUAAUGUGUACAAAUAUGCAAUUCCCAUCAUUCAAAUUAAAUUUUCCUUUUACCUGCAGACAGCUUGAAACUUGCUUUUGAUGGGUGAAUACUACCAUCUACAACAAAAAAAAUUUUUUUGAUGUGAAUUUCUCUUAUUUUGCCAUGUUCCCUUUAGUUGUGAUGACACUCAACAGCGUGGCUACAUGUACUAUUGCAUGACCAUUGCAAUUUAAGAAAUAUGACAGCAAUUGAUUCACUAGACUCUAUACAUUACCUAAAGAUAAAACGUUUUGUCAAAUACAACAGAAUGUCUUUUCUAGCAACAUGGGCAUUUCUAGGUUCUGGAAGACUUUGUAAAAUAGUGUCCAUAUGGUUGGAUUUGUCUACACAGAACA
Sinocyclocheilus rhinocerous is the source of this 1506-nucleotide long non-coding RNA. RefSeq lists it as uncharacterized. The record is from RefSeq and is a predicted model, not a curated record. The transcript is spliced from 4 exons. NCBI's taxonomy places the organism in Eukaryota, Metazoa, Chordata, Actinopteri, Cypriniformes, Cyprinidae.